RNAcentral lists this unclassified non-coding RNA (246 nucleotides) under Hevea brasiliensis (rubber tree). The record is from RNAcentral. Lineage: Eukaryota; Viridiplantae; Streptophyta; Magnoliopsida; Malpighiales; Euphorbiaceae.
CUUGGCUGAGAACCAAAUUCCUGUGAAAAAUUACAUGGGGUGAUUGAGAAGGAGAAAUUUCACCAUACAACAAGCUUUGCGUCACAAGUUGCAAGAUUCUCCAUCUUAACUCAGACAAUAGUACUAUUAAUGCUACUGCAACAGACAUAGGAAUGUGCACUCGCAUAAGCUAUGUUAAACUUUUGCAUGCAGAAUGUAACUUCUUGCUCGAGUGGAACAAAAUAGAACCAUAACACCAAGAUAGAA